Xenia sp. Carnegie-2017 is the source of this 420-nucleotide long non-coding RNA. RefSeq lists it as uncharacterized. The transcript has 3 exons. The record is from RefSeq and is a predicted model, not a curated record. Lineage: Eukaryota; Metazoa; Cnidaria; Anthozoa; Malacalcyonacea; Xeniidae.
CACACAAAAAAAUUUUCGUACAAUCAGAACACUAUCUUAAAAGGACGGUUGAAACGAGAUAUUAAGAAGACGAACCAACUAAAAUCAUCACUUGUUUUGGUAAAAUAUGAAGGUAUUGAAGGUGGUAUUAUUUCUUAUGCUUGUUAUAUUGGCUGUCCAUGGAAAGAAACGAUCUAGUGAUAAGCUGUUGAAGAAGUUCGAGUCAAAUCGAUUUGCAAGAACACACGAGUCUUGUUCUUGUGUAAACGGUCUUCAAGGAGUUUGCGAGGACAAUGUCUGCCCAGGAGGAAAACAAAACUGCACUGGAAGCUGUCCUCAUACUGGAGAAGUUUGCUGUUACUGAUGUAACCUAUAGAGUGGUGUUUAGCAUGUAAUGACGAAUUAUGGGUGUAAUGAUUAAAUAAAAGUAUAUUGCAAGAA